GCAGACACAUUCCAGCCAAUCAGCAGCAGACCCUCCCUCCCAGACCCUCCCACCUCCUGGACAGCUCACUAAGAAUGCAGCUUCACAAUGGAUGCUGUCCAGGAGUUGGGAAGGUCUGGGAGGGAGGGUCUGCUGCUGAUUGGAUGGAAUGUGUCUG
Molecule: microRNA precursor, 157 nt
Filed under: Pelobates cultripes (western spadefoot toad)
Lineage: Eukaryota; Metazoa; Chordata; Amphibia; Anura; Pelobatidae
Source: RNAcentral